GACAGAGGGUGCAACCGUUGCUCGGAAUUACUGGGCGUAAAGGGCGUGUAGGCGGGGAGGCAAGUCGGGCGUGAAAGCCCCAGGCUCAACCUGGGAACUGCACUCGAAACUGCCUUUCUUGAGUGCCGGAGAGGAAAGCGGAAUUCCUGGUGUAGAGGUGAAAUUCGUAGAUAUCAGGAGGAACACCAGUGGCGAAGGCGGCUUUCUGGACGGUAACUGACGCUGAGACGCGAAAGCGUGGGGAGCAAACAGG
Molecule: ribosomal RNA, 253 nt
Filed under: uncultured bacterium
Lineage: Bacteria
Description: partial 16S ribosomal RNA
Rfam family: Bacterial small subunit ribosomal RNA
Source: RNAcentral